UAGCUUGGAGGGUAGGGCGUCUGUCUUGUAAGCACUAGGUUGCGGGUUCGAUUCCCGC
RNAcentral lists this transfer RNA (58 nucleotides) under Diaphorina citri (Asian citrus psyllid). It matches the Rfam family "tRNA", at positions 8 to 63 of the family's 71-position model. Rfam says of the family: Transfer RNA (tRNA) molecules are approximately 80 nucleotides in length. Their secondary structure includes four short double-helical elements and three loops (D, anti-codon, and T loops). Further hydrogen bonds mediate the characteristic L-shaped molecular structure. tRNAs have two regions of fundamental functional importance: the anti-codon, which is responsible for specific mRNA codon recognition, and the 3' end, to which the tRNAs corresponding amino acid is attached (by aminoacyl-tRNA synthetases). tRNAs cope with the degeneracy of the genetic code in two manners: having more than one tRNA (with a specific anti-codon) for a particular amino acid; and 'wobble' base-pairing, i.e. permitting non-standard base-pairing at the 3rd anti-codon position. Lineage: Eukaryota; Metazoa; Arthropoda; Insecta; Hemiptera; Psyllidae. The record is from Rfam by way of RNAcentral.